CCGUAGCCCAAGAGAUCGGGAUAACACCUGGAAACAGAUGCUAAUACCGGAUAACAACAGAUGAUGCCUAUCAACUGUUUAAAAGAUGGUUCUGCUAUCACUCUUGGAUGGACCUGCGGUGCAUUAGCUAGUUGGUAGGGUAACGGCCUACCAAGGCGAUGAUGCAUAGCCGAGUUGAGAGACUGAUCGGCCACAUUGGGACUGAGACACGGCCCAAACUCCUACGGGAGGCAGCAG
Molecule: ribosomal RNA, 237 nt
Filed under: uncultured Lactobacillus sp.
Lineage: Bacteria; Bacillati; Bacillota; Bacilli; Lactobacillales; Lactobacillaceae
Description: partial 16S ribosomal RNA
Rfam family: Bacterial small subunit ribosomal RNA
Source: RNAcentral